This 108-nucleotide ribosomal RNA is filed under the name Leptidea amurensis. RNAcentral's name for it is "partial 5.8S ribosomal RNA". It matches the Rfam family "5.8S ribosomal RNA", at positions 50 to 154 of the family's 154-position model. Rfam says of the family: 5.8S ribosomal RNA (5.8S rRNA) is a component of the large subunit of the eukaryotic ribosome. It is transcribed by RNA polymerase I as part of the 45S precursor that also contains 18S and 28S rRNA. The record is from RNAcentral. RNAcentral also lists the same sequence under 6 other names. Lineage: Eukaryota; Metazoa; Arthropoda; Insecta; Lepidoptera; Pieridae.
UAACUGCGCGUCAUAGUGUGAACUGCAGGACACAUUUGAACAUCGACAUUUCGAACGCACAUUGCGGUCCGUGGAGAAAUAUCCAGGACCACUCCUGUCUGAGGGCCG